Cynoglossus semilaevis (tongue sole) is the source of this 1516-nucleotide long non-coding RNA. RefSeq lists it as uncharacterized. The transcript is spliced from 3 exons. The record is from RefSeq and is a predicted model, not a curated record. NCBI's taxonomy places the organism in Eukaryota, Metazoa, Chordata, Actinopteri, Pleuronectiformes, Cynoglossidae.
AAGAGUCUUGGAUUUGUUCCUGACGCGGCCGGGACGCAGAGAAAACAAUGGCAGCCAUGGACAAGAGCUGUGGGACACAAACAUGGCAGAUAUCCUGGAAGCCUGGACAGGAAUGUCGAUGGAGACCAAGACUCCUACUCUCAGAGGCAGCUGAAUAUCAGUCGGUCAAUGGAGGGAGAAUAAAAGCGUCUCUCUGUUCGGUGUCAUCUACGGCACACGGCCACAGGGGGCAGCCUAAGAGAACUCCUUGUUUGUGCCUUUUUGUGAACUUUUUCACUGUUUGGAGAAGGAACCUGCAACUUCAGGAGGUCGACUGUCUCACAAAAAUAACUUGAUUUAUACUGAAAAUCAACAGUCCUCAGGGUGUCACCCUCCGUCAUACCUUCAGAGGAUCGACUGAGUGUGAACACGGUGUAGAGAACCAUGGGAAACAGUUGGAGACAGAUUGAGAACUCUUUUUUUUUUGCUGCUUUUUAAAAGUUGAAUUCUGCGGUUGUAAAUGAGAAUACAGUUAAUCUGUGUAUGUGACGUCAUACACUUUCUAUUCUCUUCUGUUCUAUUCUAUUCUGCGGUUGUCAUUGUGGGUUUUUUUUAAGCUCGUUAAAGACGCUUACCUGCGAGUGUAUGGAUUCUGGCGCCCUCUUCUGGUAAUUUUAGGAAGUGCUACAACGUCAUUUCGGCCCACUCGGGCUGUUCCUAUGUAACUGAGUCAUCUUCUCUAAUUAAUCCCAGCACUGACCAGAGAUGACCUCGAGCCACAUGUAAGUUUGUUAAAAUUAGAAACUUUAUUUUAUUUUAAGUCUUUAUGAUUAGAAUUAUUUUAAAUUAUUUUUAUUACAUAUAUUUUUAAAGUUUUUUUUUACCAAACAAAUUCUCAGGUAGUAAACUGUGGUAGUUGAUGACAUGAGCUGUUUUUCUCAUUCACUGUUUCUGAAGAAACAGAUUAUGAAAGACAGAAAACAGAACUCUGUGUGUUUUCUUCACAACUCUCUUUUUUUCAAAAUAAUUGGAACUUAAUGGGUGUGCUGUUCCUGCUCUGUCCUCCGGGGCUUGGUGUCAUGGUAACAACAGGUCUGACUCGGUCGGAGCCGCUGGGGUCGAGGUGCGGCGUGCGUCGUCGUUCGAUCAAUGGAGUCAUCUGAGGACGGCCCCGUGGAGACGGAGAAACACCACAGAGCAGAAGCAGGAACCACACUGUGGUCCAUGUGAUGUGAAGAGUCGCCAUGGAAACGUCAGGCUGUUUUUUUUUAACCAGCCGUUCAAGUCCAAACCGUUGAAGCUCGGGUGUUUACAGCAGCAGCAGCAGCGGUGGCACCUUCACCUGAGGACACCAGGAGCAGCAGAUAACAUCAGGCUCUGAUCUCUGGUUACACGGACCGUGGGCUGCAUUAAUGAUCACCCACAGCUGUCCACGGUCCGAGGUCCCGUUCACAGUUCACUUCAUUUGGAUCCAAGUUGUUUUAACAAAAAUGAAAAGUGUGGAUUAACAACAACAACAAAAAAAAAAACUUUGGUC